RNAcentral lists this long non-coding RNA (357 nucleotides) under Mytilus galloprovincialis (Mediterranean mussel). The record is from RNAcentral. Lineage: Eukaryota; Metazoa; Mollusca; Bivalvia; Mytilida; Mytilidae.
GGAACUUAUAUCCAAAGACCCUAGGCCUAUAUCACUGAUGGUUUACCAGUUAGAAACGCAUAUCACUUAUAUCAAAUGCAUAAGGGGAAAUAACUCUCAUAUGGAGUCUCCGGAUAACUUCGAUCCAAAUGAAUAUCCUAAUCCUGAAGAAGUAACGAGCAAUUUGGUAAAAUAAAUUUGUUGUAAUCUUUUACGGUUGCGAAGGAGUAGUGGCCACAAGAAAAACAGUGUUUGGGGAGAUAAGUCUUACAACGUAAAGUAUUUUGUUACGCAGUUGUAAAUUUGUAAAGGGUAUAAACUAUACGACAUCAUAUUCCAAAUAUCUCAGUGACAUCUUUUGAAACAUCAAUACUACAU